RNAcentral lists this long non-coding RNA (2901 nucleotides) under Fragaria vesca (wild strawberry). Its description in RNAcentral is "long non-coding RNA (FVES_LNC002536)". Lineage: Eukaryota; Viridiplantae; Streptophyta; Magnoliopsida; Rosales; Rosaceae. The record is from RNAcentral.
AUUAUCUUGUUGAUAAAAAUAAAGGGAUUUUUGAAACCCUGUACAUUGUGCUUCUAUUUUUAUUUUUAAGAAAUUUAUGUUAUUAAAUUAAGGAAUCAAAUCGUAAUUAAGAAAUGUAGAAUGCAAAAAUUAAUUAUAGUGAGUAAAGUUUUUAUUUUAGAGAUAAUGAUUCAUUAUUAAAAAUUAUAUAGUGAGGCUGUGAGAUUAUUUGAGAAACUUAAGUGAGGUUUAGUGAGUAAAUAUACUAUUUCAAAAUUUGAUAGGAGGUGUAAAAAACAUAGGAUGUCUAGUGAACAAAUUUAGAGAUCUCAAUUGUCACAUCCCGACCCUUAUAUUUUUAUCUUAUUUACUAACGUGAUUAUAAUAAGAAUUUUACCGUCUCGAUCAUUGAGUAAAUAGUUUAAUUGGUCCCUAGAGGGGUUUCGGGGACGAUUAUGUGCGGAGGAUUAUUCGUUUGAGGAAAAUACGACGAGGGUAAAAAUGGUAAAUUUUAGCUAGUAAAAGGUAAUUUUUAUUCGGGUAUUAUUUUUCGGGGUGUUUUUAUUUUGGAAGAUUGGGUUAUAAGUGGUGUGGACCGGUUUGGGCCAAGCCCACACAUUUCUCUCCCCUCACUUUUCUCUUUUCCUCCCGAUUCUCUCUCCUCCCACCCGAUUUUCUUCUCCCUCCGCCCGGAAACUUCACCACCGCCGUCCGCCGCCGUCCGGCCACCACCGACCGCCAGACUGGUCCCGUUCGGACCCUUGCCUCUUCCUCUCUCAUCCUGGACCAGUGCACGCGUGCGGAACGCCGCCGUGAAGGAGCGGUCAACCCCGAAAGGUUCGACUGCCGGAAUGGGUUUUUCGCCGGAGCUCCGUCUUCCGGCCACCAUAGGUCGUGAUUUUUGGCUCAACUUGUAGCCCUCAUCUAGGUGAGUAAUCCCUCAAAAGGUUUCGGCUAAAUUCGAUUUCGUUAGGGUGGUUUGUAUAAUUGAAAGUUUUAGGGACUAGUCUUAAGUUUUGGAUUAGACUAUUGGCUAAGGCUAAAGAUAGCUGAUAAUCUGGAAGUAGUUGAGAUUAUUAACUUACGGUUUGGGUUAAUUUUCUAAUUAAAGGACUCAAGUAUGUGCCUAUGGACGUAAAGGCUCGCCGUAGGAAGUUGACGGACAUUUGACUUGGGAAGCCUCCGCUUGGCAAUUAAAUAAUCAAAUCACUGUGAGUGGACGUUUGUUUUUAAAUUAAAUGCAUGUGAUAGCCUCAUAUUUAAUGAUAGUUGAUUUUUAUAUUAUUGAUUCUUAAUUAGUGGAAUAAUUUCCUUUUACGAUUGAUUUCUGCGAAGUAUUUUCGGAAGUAAUUAUUCAUAUUUUGUUUGUUAACUUCGCUAUUUGAAAAGUACCGAAGAUGGGAUCUUUCGGUAGAGCCAUACUUUCAUAGCCUCUUUUGUAAUUGACAAUUUUUAUUAUUUUGGAGAGUUACCGAAAAUGAGAUUUUCGAUGAAUGUGUAUAUGGAUAGUUAUGAGGAGAGUAUGUAUAUAAAUGCUAGCUAGCCAUAUGUGUCUGUCCACUUUAAUGGCGUAGCAUAUAGCCGCAUUAUGGUGUGACGUGAGCGUUGGACGCGAGCGUAGUAGCCCUAUAUGAGUAUCUAAUUCAUAUAGGGGGUAUGGGCACAUAUUUAUACACCCGUCUGUCCACCUUAAUGGCGUAGUGUAGCACCGCAUUAAGGCGUGACAUGAGCGUUGGACGCAAGCGUAGUAGCCUUGUAUGAACUUCUAUUUUUCUUAUAUUUUCAUAAGAAUUCAUACAAGGAGUAUGGACGAGUGUAGAUACAUACAUAUAUAUUUGUAAUUUAGCCUGAGAGGCUGUAUUUUAUUAAGUCUUAGAGACUAGCCGGAGCUAGUUGCGUUUCUGUCAGUUUAUGAGUUGAGCGCUUUUGAGCUGCCGCAUGCAGUAUUUUUUCUAUGAAAUUAAAAUGGGAAUGCAUAAAUAUUUAUAACUCUAGUCCAUUUCUCCCCUAAUAGAGUUGCUCUGAACAAAUGAAUUGUUUGUUGUGGGAUUUUAUUUAGUUUAAAUAAUUGGGAGAUGUUGUGAUUUGGGGGAGCAUGAAGGCUCCAGGAGUUUAAGGUUGGAUUUGGUUUAUCAGAAGUGUAUGCAGGUUUUUCGUAGGAAGGGUUGUCCAUUUUCAAAGGAGAUUAUGCCGAAUUUUCGGUAAAUUUUCCUUGGAGGUGGUCCCCGCAGGAUUUACUUCGGGUUUCAGGGUGAAAUUCGGGGUGAGUCCUGACAUCAAUAGCCGCAUUACCUAAAUUAACGUCACUAAGGAUAAUAAUCAACUCAAUAUUUAUAAGCCACUUGAAAUAUGUCGAUCACAUUCAAAAUAGUUGAUGUAUAUAUUGCUUUCAGAUUUAAGGCGAUUUUUAUUAAUCAUCUUAUUGUUACUGUAUUCUUCUUAAAACUCUCAUUCAUGACUGUGUCGUGUCAUAAGAUCUAAGCCUCUAAGGUCUACUAUUGCAAGAUUACAUGCAUUGUUCCUACCCUUCAUUAUACAGAUCCAUAUGAACUCAUGAGUUGAUUAGUGCACAUAAAUCGACGAAAUAAAAUUAUUAGUGUUUGAACGCUCUUGAUAAAAUGAGCUCAUCAUCUUACCUUUUUUUUUUGUUAUGUUUUGAGGUAGUUGAAGAUCGAAAUUAACUGUACAUUUUUGUUUAAGCAUUUUUUAGAAUCUGUGUUUUUGUUUUUUGUACGUUUUAUAUAUGAUUGGUUUUUAGUCCAAGCUCCUUCCACGCAAUCCUGAGUCGGACAGAAUCACUUUUGCCUUAUUCUAUUUAAGUGAUGCUGUCAUCAUCUUCUUCCUUGGUCAUCCAUUGUCCAAAAGGAAAGAGCUAGCAAGCAAAAGUGUGUGCUUACUCAGUUUCCAACUUUCUGGUUUUUU